This 209-nucleotide unclassified non-coding RNA is filed under the name Hevea brasiliensis (rubber tree). Lineage: Eukaryota; Viridiplantae; Streptophyta; Magnoliopsida; Malpighiales; Euphorbiaceae. The record is from RNAcentral.
GCCACUUGCUCAGUUGUUAUACCAUUUUGACUGGAAACUUGCCAGUGGAUUGAAGCCUGAAGAGCUUGACAUGACCGAGGCCAAUGGCUUUACAAUAAGAAANNNNNNACUUGUACUUACUCCCAAUCCCUUAUCAUCCUUUGUCUGUUGAAUAAUGCUAGCAAGAGAGAAGCUAGCUAUACAUAAAAACAUAACAAAGUUGGACCACA